RNAcentral lists this ribosomal RNA (459 nucleotides) under uncultured bacterium. RNAcentral's name for it is "partial 16S ribosomal RNA". It matches the Rfam family "Bacterial small subunit ribosomal RNA", at positions 338 to 795 of the family's 1533-position model. The record is from RNAcentral.
CCUACGGGUGGCAGCAGUGAGGAAUAUUGGGCAAUGGGAGAGAUCCUGAACCAGCAAAGCCGCGUGAGGGAAGACGGCCCUAUGGGUUGUAAACCUCUUUUGUCGGAGCACAAAACCCGGGACGUGUCCCGGACUGCGUGUCUCCGAAGAAAAAGCAUCGGCUAACUCCGUGCCAGCAGCCGCGGUAAUACGGAGGAUGCGAGGGUUAUCCGGAUUUAUUGGGGUGAAAGGGUGCGUAGGCGGUCCGUUAAGUCAGCGGUAAAAUUGCGGGGCUAAACCUCGGCGAGCCGUUGAAUCUGGCAGACUUGAGUUGGCGAGAGGUACGCGGAAUGCGCGGUGUAGCGGUGAAAUGCAUAGAUAUCGCGCAGAACUCCGAUUGCGAAGGCAGCGUACCGGCGCCAGACUGACGCUGAGGCACGAAAGCGUGGGGAUCGAACAGGAUUAGAUACCCUGGUAGUC